Molecule: non-coding RNA, 694 nt
Organism: Meleagris gallopavo (turkey)
Lineage: Eukaryota; Metazoa; Chordata; Aves; Galliformes; Phasianidae
Source: RefSeq, a predicted model, not a curated record
UUGGAAUUGGGGACAAAAUGGGGACAAAAUGGGGACAAAAUGGUGGCGUUGGAUUGGGGACAAAAUGGUGGCGUUGGAAUGGGGACAAAAUGGUGGUGUUGAAAUUGGGGACAAAAUGGUGACAUUGGAAUUGGGGACAAAAUGGGGACAAAAUGGUGGCAUUGGAAUUGGGGACAAAAUGGUGGCGUUGGAAUUGGGGACAAAAUGGGGACAAAAUGGUGGCGUUGGAAUGGGGACAAAAUGGUGGUGUUGAAAUUGGGGACAAAAUGGUGGCGUUGGAAUUGGGGACAAAAUGGGGACAAAAUGGUGGCAUUGGAAUUGGGGACAAAAUGGGGACAAAAUGAUGGCGUUGGAGUGGGGACAAAAUGGUGGCGUUGGAAUGGGGACAAAAUGGGGACAAAAUGGUGACAUGGAUGGAGAACAAAAUGGCAUUAAAAUGAGGGACAAAACGGGUGACAAAAUGGUGACAUUGAAUUGGGGACAAAAUGGGUGACAAAAUGUUGACAUAAGGAAUGGGGACAAAAUGGUGGCAUUGGAAUGGGGACAAAAUGGGGGGACAAAAUGGUGACAUGGAAAUUGGGGACAAAAUGGUGGCAUUAAAAUGGAGGGAACAAAAUGGCGGCGUUGGAAUGGGGACAAAAUGGCGGCACUGAAAUGGGGUGGGGUGGCAAUAAAGACUUUUCAACCCCAAAAA